This 486-nucleotide ribosomal RNA is filed under the name uncultured bacterium. RNAcentral describes it as "partial 16S ribosomal RNA". It matches the Rfam family "Bacterial small subunit ribosomal RNA", at positions 28 to 507 of the family's 1533-position model. The record is from RNAcentral.
GAUGAACGCUGGCGGCGUGCCUAAUACAUGCAAGUCGAACGCUGGAGAUCUAGCUUGCUAGAUCGAAGGAGUGGCGAACGGGUGAGUAAUACAUAAGCAACCUACCCACGAAGACUGGGAUAAUCUCUGGAAACGGGGACUAAUACCGGAUAGGUAAUCGGAAGGCAUCUUCUGGUUAUUAAAGGUUAAAAACACUGGUGGAUGGGCUUAUGGCGCAUUAGUUAGUUGGUGAGGUAACGGCCCACCAAGACGAUGAUGCGUAGCCGGCCUGAGAGGGUGAACGGCCACAUUGGGACUGAGACACGGCCCAGACUCCUACGGGAGGCAGCAGUAGGGAAUUUUCGGCAAUGGAGGCAACCCUGACCGAGCAACGCCGCGUGAGUGAAGACGGCCUUCGGGUUGUAAAGCUCUGUUGUAAGGGAAGAACGGUAGAUAGAGAAUAUCUAAGUGACGGUACCUUACCAGAAAGCCACGGCUAACUACGUG